RNAcentral lists this ribosomal RNA (1478 nucleotides) under human oral metagenome. Its description in RNAcentral is "bacterial LSU rRNA". It matches the Rfam family "Bacterial large subunit ribosomal RNA", at positions 1195 to 2493 of the family's 2925-position model. The record is from RNAcentral.
CGCCGCUACUGGCGUGUCGCCCCCCCGGGGGGUGGUGGGUGCGGCGGGUGGUAGGGGAGCGUCCCGCGUGGGGGGAAGCUUCCGGGUGACCGGGGGUGGACCGCGUGGGAGUGAGAAUGCAGGCAUGAGUAGCGAUACCGGGGUGGGAAGCCCCGGCGCCGUAUGACCAAGGGUUCCAGGGCCAGGCUAGUCCGCCCUGGGUGAGUCGGGACCUAAGGCGAGGCCGACGGGCGUAGUCGAUGGAUGACGGGUUGAUAUUCCCGUACCGGACCGGAUACCGACCGUGCUGACGUGCGGGUGCUGACCCACGCCCCACGCCGCCCAUCGCGCCUCCCGGCCGGUUAUUCGUAACCGCGGGGGGCGGGCGGCGGGGGUCUGGGGACCCUCCGUGCAGGUAGGCAAGCGUAUUAACAGGGGUGACGCGCAGUGGUGGCCCCGCGGGUCUGAUGGCUCGGCCCGUUCAAGCGCGCAGCCCGCCGCCCAGGCAAAUCCGGGCGGCUGCCUUCAAUGGCGGGGGUGAGGCGUGACGGUGACCCGGCCCGGUGGGGUCGGGGAAGCAGGGUGAUCCUGUGGCGCCUAGAAAAGCCUCGACGCGAGGGGCCGGUCCGCCCGUACCCCAAACCGACACAGGUGGUCGGGCAGAGUAUGCCCAGGCGCACGAGCGAACCGUGGUGAAGGAACUCGGCAAAACGCCCCCGUAACUUCGGGAGAAGGGGGGCCCGAACCCUGAAACGGCCAGCCCGUUAGGGGUGAGGGUCGCAGAGACCAGGGGGGAGCGACUGUUUACUAAAAACACAGGUCCGUGCGAAGCCGUAAGGCGAUGUAUACGGACUGACGCCUGCCCGGUGCUGGAAGGUCAAGAGGACCCGUCAACCCCCCGUGGGUGAAGCGGUGAAUUCAAGCCCCAGUGAACGGCGGUGGUAACUAUAACCAUCCUAAGGUAGCGAAAUUCCUUGUCGGGUAAGUUCCGACCUGCACGAAUGGCGUAACGACUCCCCCGCUGUCUCCACCACGGGCUCGGCGAAAUUGCAUUACGAGUAAAGAUGCUCGUUGCGCGCAGAAGGACGGAAAGACCCCGGGACCUUCACUGCAGCUUGGUAUUGGCGCCCGGUUCGGCUCGUGCAGGAUAGGUGGGAGACUAUGAGGCCGCCGCGUCAGCGGCGGCGGAGUCGUCGUUGAGAUACCACUCCGGCCGUGUCGUGCGCCUGAACCCGGGCCCGUGAUCCGGGUCGGGGACAGUGCCUGGCGGGUAGUUCAACUGGGGCGGUUGCCUCCCAAAGAGUAACGGAGGCGCUCAAAGGUCCCCUCAGCCUGGUCGGCAACCAGGUGUCGAGUGCAAGUGCACAAGGGGGCUCGACUGCGAGACCGACAGGUCGAGCAGGUGCGAAAGCAGGAACUAGUGAUCCGGCGAUCCCGCGUGGGCGGGUCGUCGCUCAACGGAUAAAAGGUACCCCGGGGAUAACAGGCUGAUCCUGCCC